GGAUGGACCCGCGUCUGAUUAGCUAGUUGGUAAGGUAACGGCUUACCAAGGCGACGAUCAGUAGCCGACCUGAGAGGGUGAUCGGCCACAUUGGAACUGAGACACGGUCCAAACUCCUACGGGAGGCAGCAGUGGGGAAUAUUGCACAAUGGGCGAAAGCCUGAUGCAGCAACGCCGCGUGAGCGAUGAAGGCCUUCGGGUCGUAAAGCUCUGUCCUCAAGGGAGAUAAUGACGGUACUUGAGGAGGAAGCCCCGGCUAACUACGUGCCAGCAGCCGCGGUAAUACGUAGGGGGCUAGCGUUAUCCGGAAUUACUGGGCGUAAAGGGUGCGUAGGUGGUUUCUUAAGUCAGAGGCGAAAGGCUACGGCUCAACCGUAGUAAGCCUUUGAAACUGGGAAGCUUGAGUGCAGGAGAGGACAGUGGAAUUCCUAGUGUAGCGGUGAAAUGCGU
This 450-nucleotide ribosomal RNA is filed under the name uncultured Clostridium sp. RNAcentral's name for it is "bacterial SSU rRNA". It matches the Rfam family "Bacterial small subunit ribosomal RNA", at positions 223 to 691 of the family's 1533-position model. The record is from RNAcentral. Lineage: Bacteria; Bacillati; Bacillota; Clostridia; Eubacteriales; Clostridiaceae.